RNAcentral lists this ribosomal RNA (492 nucleotides) under uncultured bacterium. RNAcentral's name for it is "partial 16S ribosomal RNA". It matches the Rfam family "Bacterial small subunit ribosomal RNA", at positions 29 to 507 of the family's 1533-position model. The record is from RNAcentral.
AGUGAACGCUGGCGGUAGGCCUAACACAUGCAAGUCGAACGGCAGCACAGUAAGAGCUUGCUCUUACGGGUGGCGAGUGGCGGACGGGUGAGGAAUACAUCGGAAUCUACUUUUUCGUGGGGGAUAACGUAGGGAAACUUACGCUAAUACCGCAUACGACCUACGGGUGAAAGCAGGGGAUCUUCGGACCUUGCGCGAUUGAAUGAGCCGAUGUCGGAUUAGCUAGUUGGCGAGGUAAAGGCCCACCAAGGCGACGAUCCGUAGCUGGUCUGAGAGGAUGAUCAGCCACACUGGAACUGAGACACGGUCCAGACUCCUACGGGAGGCAGCAGUGGGGAAUAUUGGACAAUGGGCGAAAGCCUGAUCCAGCAAUACCGCGUGGGUGAAGAAGGCCUUCGGGUUGUAAAGCCCUUUUGUUGGGAAAGAAAAGCAGCAGGUUAAUACCCCGCUGUUCUGACGGUACCCAAAGAAUAAGCACCGGCUAACUUCGUG